UCCCACCUACUCUCCACACCUCUCUGCCAUAUCUCAAUUAUAUCAAAUCAUGGAGACUUUACUCAUACCAAAGAGACUUUACUCAUUCUACACAAAAGACAUGUUGCAUUUUUCUCAUCUGCAUUCAAGAAGGCAAGAACGCACAAAAGAAGCCACCAAGCACCAAGCACCAACCAUCAUUAACCCUCAAGGCUUUGUGGACCAAGGGGAUUAGCACUGUUUUCCCAAGACAGGUUAUGUGAUUAUGAUCUUCAGGCUUUGCCUAUCCAGGUUGAGCAGUUGAUGGAAUGGAAUGAUGUUGAGCGGGUGUUCCUUUGACAUUUCAAGAAAUGUAACCUUGAGUAUACAUCUUCAUAUGUAUAUCUCACACGUUUUCCGCUGCAAAACACUUGAUUAGGAUAGCUCUAUGAUAUGAAGUUGUGAUACGUGUUAUUGGGUAACCACCUUAAUCAGUUCUCAAUUAUGUGUAUCCAAAUAAUCAUAUAUGAUCCUAGCAUUUUAUCUAUGAGUGACAUUUCCAUAUACUUUAAUGUUAAGUAAUUGUCCAUUUCCA
Molecule: long non-coding RNA, 553 nt
Organism: Salvia miltiorrhiza (redroot sage)
Lineage: Eukaryota; Viridiplantae; Streptophyta; Magnoliopsida; Lamiales; Lamiaceae
Exons: 3
Source: RefSeq, a predicted model, not a curated record